RNAcentral lists this ribosomal RNA (899 nucleotides) under uncultured bacterium. RNAcentral describes it as "bacterial SSU rRNA". It matches the Rfam family "Bacterial small subunit ribosomal RNA", at positions 8 to 916 of the family's 1533-position model. The record is from RNAcentral.
AGAGUUUGAUCAUGGGCUCAGGACGAACGCUUGCGGCGUGCCUAAGAAAUGCAAGUCGAGCGAGCUUGAGGCUUCGGCCAAAGAGCUAGCGGCGAACGGUCGCGUAACACGUAAGCAACCUGCCCUGAAAUGGGGGGAUAGCCCGCCGAAAGGCGGAUUAAUACCGCAUGUGGAUAGAGAGCCUCCUGGUUUUCUAUCUAAAGCAGCAAUGCGUUUCAGGAUGGGCUUGCGGCCUAUCAGCUAGUUGGUGCAGGUAACGGCUCACCAAGGCGACGACGGGUAGCUGGUCUGAGAGGAUGGUCAGCCGGACUGGGACUGAGAUACGGCCCAGACUCCUACGGGGGGCAGCAAUUAGGAAUCUUGCGCAAUGGGCGAAAGCCUGACGCAGCGACGCCGCGUGACUGAUGAAGUCCUUCGGGAUGUAAAGGUCUUUUGCAGGGGAAGAAGGAUGUGACGGUACCCUGCGAAUAAGCCCCGGCUAACUACGUGCCAGCAGCCGCGGUAAUACGUAGGGGGCGAGCGUUGUCCGAAUUUACUGGGCGUAAAGCGCGCGUAGGCGGGUUUUUAAGUUGGGGGUGAAAUCCCGGGGCUCAACCCCGGAACUGCCUCCAAAACUGGAAGCCUUGAGGUAUGGAGAGGGAAGUGGAAUUCCUGGUGUAGCGGUGAAAUGCGUAGAUAUCAGGAGGAACACCCGUGGCGAAGGCGGCUUCCUGGCCAUAUCCUGACGCUGAGGUGCGAAAGCUAGGGGAGCGAACGGGAUUAGAUACCCCGGUAGUCCUAGCCGUAAACGAUGGAUACUAGGUGUUAGAGGUAUCGACCCCUCUAGUGCCGUAGCUAACGCAUUAAGUAUCCCGCCUGGGGAGUACGACCGCAAGGUUGAAACUCAAAGGAAUUGACGG